RNAcentral lists this ribosomal RNA (427 nucleotides) under uncultured bacterium. RNAcentral's name for it is "bacterial SSU rRNA". It matches the Rfam family "Bacterial small subunit ribosomal RNA", at positions 355 to 774 of the family's 1533-position model. The record is from RNAcentral.
UGGGGAAUUUUGGACAAUGGGCGCAAGCCUGAUCCAGCAAUGCCGCGUGCAGGAUGAAGGCCUUCGGGUUGUAAACUGCUUUUGUACGGAGCGAAGAGGUCUGCCCUAAUACGGUGGGCCCAUGACGGUACCGUAAGAAUAAGCACCGGUUAACUACGUGCCAGCAGCCGCGGUAAUACGUAGGGUGCGAGCGUUAAUCGGAAUUACUGGGCGUAAAGCGUGCGCAGGCGGUUAUGCAAGACAGAGGUGAAAUCCCCGGGCUCAACCUGGGACCCGCAUUUGUGACUGUAUAGCUAGAGUACGGUAGAGGGGGAUGGAAUUCCGCGUGUAGCAGUGAAAUGCGUAGAUAUGCGGAGGAACACCGAUGGCGAAGGCAAUCCUCUGGACCUGUACUGACGCUCAUGCACGAAAGCGUGGGGAGCAAACA